RNAcentral lists this ribosomal RNA (256 nucleotides) under uncultured prokaryote. RNAcentral describes it as "partial 16S ribosomal RNA". It matches the Rfam family "Bacterial small subunit ribosomal RNA", at positions 524 to 780 of the family's 1533-position model. The record is from RNAcentral.
CACGUAGGGGCGAGCGUUGUCCGGAAUUACUGGGCGUAAAGGGCGCGCAGGCUGUUAUGCGAGUCUGCUGUGAAAUGUACCGGCUCAACCGGUGCCUUGCGGCGGAUACUGCAUAGCUGGAGUACUGGAGAGGGAAGUGGAAUUCCCGGUGUAGCGGUGAAAUGCAUAGAUAUCACGAGGAACUCCGAUUGCGCAGGCAGCUUACUAAACUACUACUGACGCUCAGGCACGAAGGCGUGGGGAUCAAACAGGAUUA